Molecule: ribosomal RNA, 459 nt
Filed under: Triticum aestivum (bread wheat)
Lineage: Eukaryota; Viridiplantae; Streptophyta; Magnoliopsida; Poales; Poaceae
Description: partial small subunit ribosomal RNA
Source: RNAcentral
GACUGUCACGUGCUGAUGACGCAGAUACUUCCAGUUGCAAUCCGUGGGAUCAUGGACGCGCACGUCCGUGAAACGGUAUUUGGCCAAUGCAACUUUUUCGGCGUCAUCUCUCGGAAGUCGGUUGGCAUGAGGCAACUCAGAAGGCUACAGGAAGAGAUCGUGGUGAUACUAUGCGAGCUUGAGAUGUACUUCCCGCCCGCAUUCUUCGAUGUUAUGGUGCAUCUGCUGGUCCAUAUCGUGGAGGAUAUCAUCCAACUCGGGCCGACGUUCCUGCACAGCAUGAUGCCGUUCGAAAGGAUGAAUGGUGUCAUCAAAGGAUACGUUCGCAACAUGUCACGUCCAGAGGGAAGCAUAGCUAGGGGCUUUCUAACCGAAGAGUGCAUCUCCUACUGCACGAACUAUCUAGGCAUCGAGAACCCCGUUGGUCUGCCCGUCAACAGGCACCUCGGCAGGCUCGCU